This 1207-nucleotide long non-coding RNA is filed under the name Felis catus (domestic cat). RNAcentral's name for it is "lncRNA (ENSFCAG00000052984.1)". Lineage: Eukaryota; Metazoa; Chordata; Mammalia; Carnivora; Felidae. The record is from RNAcentral.
CAGAUUCUCUGUGGUUACAUAUGGCAAACAGCUGAAAUUUACAGUUGAGAGUAAAAUUUCCUCAUUUGGGAAAAAAAAAAAAAUCAUUUCACAGAUUUAGAAAGUGGUCAUUCUGAUCUCCAGGGCAAAUAAAAGUGUUUUAUAACCUUCCACAAAAGCUUAUGCCUUGAUUAAAUUUUAUUAUGAAUUAUUAAUUAAACCAAGAAAACACAGAGGCCUAAACCUUUGCUUCAAUUUGCUCCAGAUUGAGACACAAACCAAAGGCGACAAGAAACCCUGAAGGGGAGGUUUAAUGAUAGGCAACACAUAUAAAACUAUCUGCACACUUUCAUCUGCCAAGGGCUCCAAACCAGCCAUGCAAACGAGCCCCCGCGCCUAGGCCUGAAUGCAGGCCAGCAAUGAACCUGGAAGAAACGGGAAGUCUUCAGCCUCUCUCUCCUGGAUGCUGUGUUUGGGUUUCGUGGGGGCAUUGUGACUUUGAGGACACAUCAGCUAUUUGUCUCAUGAGCAGCUGUGGUUAGGUGGGGAGUGGUAGGAAAGAGGGUGGAAAGCAGCCCGGUGUCUUGGAAGCUGAACCAGAGGUCAGGAGAAGCGGGCCACCGUGGUCAUGGCUUGAGUGACUGACUCAAGCAGGGCCACCCAAUACAGUUGUGCAGGUUGCCUGGAAGCAGGGGCAGGCUGCAGACGUCAUACACGGUACGCUUGCAUGAUGGACGCCUCCGAGCCGGCCUAGAGAGAUUGUCGCGGGGGCUGUGGGGCCGCAGGGAGUUUAGGUGCCCGCCUCAGGUGUCACGACGCUAUUCAGCCAGGUGCGAACCGACUGGCCUCUCCUCCGGCCCUGCGCCGCGGGCGCCCCCUGGAGGCGGUCGGGGGAGCGGAGACCGGCGCGCCUCCCGCAGCCCAGGGGUCCCCGCCCCUCUUCUUUUGGGUGCCCCUCAGGAUCCCGCAGAGAUUCCCAGCAGCCUCUCAAAUCGCAAUAAAGUUUCCCUACUUCAAAGUCAGUUGCUGUUCUCUCACGUCCACAUCACCAUUUACACCUGGCCAAUUUCCUCUGCUCCAUCCAGACAAAUGGCUUCUUGGCCCCCACUGGGUCACCCCCCUCACUCCUCCAGUUCGGCUCCUUUCUCCAAGGUCCCUUGGUUGGUCUUGCCCCUCAGGCCCUGGUUUAGGCCGGAUCCGGGGUCCCUCCCCACACCAAGGCUUCCCG